CUGCUCCCGUCGCCAUGGAGACGGGGACUGAACAAUGAGCAUCCAGAAAUGCAGCAUGGCCGCCUGGCACUGCGGCCCACACUCCCACCAGGCGCUAGAAGGUUCUCAGAACUCCAGGAAGCCAUCUGCACCGGCUCAGAAGUGGCAGAGGGGGAAUUAAAAAAAACAUAUGGUGCAUCGUAAAUAGGACUUCCUUUUAGGAAAUGAGCUGCUGUAAUUAAAUCCCCAUUCAUUUUUUGUAACAUACACACAGAGACAAAUAGAUCUUUAUCCUUUAGAGGCACAGAAGAGAAUGGCUUGUGGGGAACAGAGAU
Molecule: long non-coding RNA, 314 nt
Filed under: Homo sapiens (human)
Lineage: Eukaryota; Metazoa; Chordata; Mammalia; Primates; Hominidae
Description: HSALNT0027911
Source: RNAcentral